UACGUAGGGUGCGAGCGUUAAUCGGAAUUACUGGGCGUAAAGCGUGCGCAGGCGGUUCGUGAUGUCGGGUGUGAAAGCCCCGGGCUUAACCUGGGAAUUGCAUUGGAAACUAGCGGGCUGGAGUGUGGCAGAGGGGGGUGGAAUUCCACGUGUAGCAGUGAAAUGCGUAGAGAUGUGGAGGAACACCGAUGGCGAAGGCAGCCCCCUGGGCUAACACUGACGCUCAUGCACGAAAGCGUGGGGAGCAAACAGG
Molecule: ribosomal RNA, 253 nt
Filed under: uncultured bacterium
Lineage: Bacteria
Description: partial 16S ribosomal RNA
Rfam family: Bacterial small subunit ribosomal RNA
Source: RNAcentral